GACGAACGCUGGCGGCGUGCUUAACACAUGCAAGUCGAACGGAAAGGCCCUGCUUUUGUGGGGUGCUCGAGUGGCGAACGGGUGAGUAACACGUGAGUAACCUGCCCUUGACUUUGGGAUAACUUCUGGAAACUGGGGCUAAUACCGGAUAGGAGCUCCUGCUGCAUGGUGGGGGUUGGAAAGAUUCGGCGGUUGGGGAUGGACUCGCGGCUUAUCAUCUUGUUGGUGGGGUAGUGGCUUACCAAGGCUUUGACGGGUAGCCGGCCUGAGAGGGUGACCGGCAACAUUGGGACUGAGAUACGGCCCAGACUCCUACGGGAGGCAGCAGUGGGGAAUAAUGCACGAUGGGCGGAAGCCUGAUGCAGCAACGCCGCGUGCGGGAUGACGGCCUUCGGGUUGUAGACCGCUUUCGCCUGUGACGAAGCGUGAGUGACGGUAAUGGAUAAAGAAGAACCGGCUAACUACGUG
This 468-nucleotide ribosomal RNA is filed under the name uncultured bacterium. RNAcentral's name for it is "partial 16S ribosomal RNA". It matches the Rfam family "Bacterial small subunit ribosomal RNA", at positions 28 to 507 of the family's 1533-position model. The record is from RNAcentral.